GACGAACGCUGGCGGCGUGCUUAACACAUGCAAGUCGAACGGAAAGGCCCUGCUUUUGUGGGGUGCUCGAGUGGCGAACGGGUGAGUAACACGUGAGUAACCUGCCCUUGACUUUGGGAUAACUUCAGGAAACUGGGGCUAAUACCGGAUAGGAGCUCCUGCUGCAUGGUGGGGGUUGGAAAGUUUCGGCGGUUGGGGAUGGACUCGCGGCUUAUCAGCUUGUUGGUGGGGUAGUGGCUUACCAAGGCUUGGACGGGUAGCCGGCCUGAGAGGGUGACCGGCCACAUUGGGACGGAGAUACGGCCCAGACUCCUACGGGAGGCAGCAGUGGGGAAGAUUGCACAAUGGGCGGAAGCCUGAUGCAGCAACGCCGCGUGCGGGAUGACGGCCUUCGGGUUGUAAACCGCUUUCGCCUGUGACGAAGCGUGAGUGACGGUAAUGGGUAAAGAAGCACCGGCUAACUACGUG
Molecule: ribosomal RNA, 468 nt
Filed under: uncultured bacterium
Lineage: Bacteria
Description: partial 16S ribosomal RNA
Rfam family: Bacterial small subunit ribosomal RNA
Source: RNAcentral